CAAGAAAUGAUGCCAGGAAGACCAAGGAAAACAGCAGUCCUUGCCCCCACAUGCUUAUUAUACCAACCACAUUCGCUUCUGUGGAUGCUAUCUCCAUUCUAAGCAAGGUCAGGCAUGAACAAAGCUGUCUGGAGAGGCAAAGAGCAGCCAAAGAAGAUGCUGUGUAUUUCUCAAGCUCUGACCGCCUAAGAAUGAAUAAAACAGCUUCCUUGUUUCUUGUCAUCCUCAAAUACCUGGC
Molecule: long non-coding RNA, 238 nt
Filed under: Gallus gallus (chicken)
Lineage: Eukaryota; Metazoa; Chordata; Aves; Galliformes; Phasianidae
Source: RNAcentral